CCCUUAGAUGUUCUGGGCCGCACGCGCGCUACACUGACUGACUCAACGAGUUUACAACCUGUGCCGAAAGGUAUGGGUAAUCUUUUGAAAUUCAGUCGUAAUGGGGCUAGAUUAUUGCAACUAUUAAUCUUCAACGAGGAAUGCCUAGUAAGCGCGAAUCAUCAGUUCGCGUUGAUUACGUCCCUGCCCUUUGUACACACCGCCCGUCGCUCCUACCGAUUGAAUGGUCCGGUGAAAAUUUCGGACAGUGACGAUGCUGGCGGUCCGCCGCCGGCGCUGUCGCUGGAAGAUCUUUAAACCUUAUCAUUUAGAGGAAGGAGAAGUCGUAACA
This 331-nucleotide ribosomal RNA is filed under the name uncultured eukaryote. RNAcentral's name for it is "partial 18S ribosomal RNA". It matches the Rfam family "Eukaryotic small subunit ribosomal RNA", at positions 1470 to 1796 of the family's 1831-position model. The record is from RNAcentral.